UUCUCCUCUCACCACUCGACUUCAUAACCAAGGAGGUGUCUGCAAUGAACCAACUGAAUUGUAGACCAACAGAUGCCGUCAGGAUUUCCGUUAGAUUGACCGCGUCAACUCACAUGGGACAGGGAAGAUGAAACUGUGAAGUAUGAAGUUACCACGGGGGCUUUUAGGGAAGAAGGAGAGAGGCAGCUGCAUCGAGGAGGAGAUAAGGUUGGAAGACUGUUGAAGUCUUGUGGUCGUUGAAGUCUUCAGAAACCAUUAACCUGCAAACAAACCAUAAGAAUGAGAAGAAAGGGUCAGAUGUAUCAAAACAGGGCGAAUUUCCAACACGCUUUGUUGCCAAUGAAGUAGAUCGCCCGGGCUUUGCUAUCGUCAAUCACAAUCUCAGACAAGCAGGCUCAAUUGGCAUUCUUGUUUUUGCCCCUCAAUUCAUUGCUCACUCUAAUCAGCUAUCAGUUUGAAGAAAAUUCCGCUACUCAAGUAUGGUGAUUUCAAGAAUUACAGUGGACUUUUCAGUCAUCAGGACCUUUAGAUCAUACAGCUGAGCAAGAUAAACCACUAUCUCCAAUAUGAGGUUCCACAUAGCCGAUAUUGAUGUAUUUAUGUCAUAGUAAUUUAAAGCUGGAAAAAUUGCGUCGACAUGCUGCAACCAAACAACGGAAUUUCGUAAGGAGAGAGGAUAGAUUGUUUUCCAUGAAGUAGGAUUUUGGUCCUUCUCUUGCAAACCAGAUCUCUGCUGUAGACAAAGUAGAGUUCAACUGUUUAGGAUUUGGUAUCUUGUAAAAUUUCAUCUGAUUCAGCCAAACCAAAUUUCAUCAUCUGCUUCAAAAUUGCUUUUCAUUGUAACAUUGAGGGUGAUGAAAUUGUACAGAUUUUGAUGCUUGUUUAGGAUUUGGUAUAUGUUUGUAAUUUUAUUCGUGUUUGCUUUUCCUAAUCAGACUUUUCUUUGUUUGAACAGAAAUUAAAAUGCAAUAACCAUAAUUAUCCCAACGAGAAAAGAAAUGGUACUUACAGGUCACAGCUUUUAAUGAUGGUGAAUGAGUUUAUAUCCAUCUUUUCCUAGCAAGAGUGAUUUAUAUCCAGGGGAGCAAAGAGGGCAAGUGGAUGGGACAUGUUCAUGAUUAAUUGUUGUUCAAGACUAGCUUGCUUACAAGCACAAACCUUGUACAGAAUUUCCUUGAUCUUGUUGUGGAUCUAUUCCUUGCAUGUAAAUAGAAAUUUUGUGAGAGUUCCAUGUAGAAAUCUUGUUUAAAUUACCUUCAUUGUUUAGAACUUGUGUAUAAAUCACUUCCAUGCAUAGAUAUGUAUACACUCAAUGUAACAGUUUGACCAAGAGUUGAACUAGCACACUUGCAGAUAAUAUGUAAUUGCAUUUGGAGGUAAAGAACUUCAAUUCUAGUACAUGUUACGGAUAAACAUUGUAUAAAGAGGAAAUUGGCUGUUUU
This 1442-nucleotide long non-coding RNA is filed under the name Rosa chinensis. Its description in RNAcentral is "sRNA RchiOBHm_Chr1g0372281". The record is from RNAcentral. Lineage: Eukaryota; Viridiplantae; Streptophyta; Magnoliopsida; Rosales; Rosaceae.